GAAAGGCUGUAGCUCAGUACUAGGAGCAUUUGCCUUACAUGCAGAAGGUCCCAGGUUCAAUCUGUGGCGCCUUCA
Non-coding RNA from Podarcis lilfordi (Lilford's wall lizard), 75 nucleotides. The record is from the annotation of a GenBank genome assembly. Lineage: Eukaryota; Metazoa; Chordata; Lepidosauria; Squamata; Lacertidae.